GGUCAUUAUUUAUGGCGGGGGGUGGCACCGAAGAGAAAAGGGUUGGGUAAACAAAAUUUUGAGUGAGAAAAAGGUUGGGUAAAUGAAAAACGAAACAACUCAAAGGUUGGGUAAUAAAAAUUUAUUGUCAUUUCCAAAGCAUGACUCACUCAAAUAUUGAAGACUGAGAACUUCAAUGUCAACAGUCAUAUUUCAAUACAAUAUGUGAAUCAAUCAGAGUCACUAUCUUUAUCAUUUUCCGUUUUGUUGGGAGACAAAUGGUGUCUCCAAAGAAAGUAAAUGUACAGACAACAUGAAACUUUAGACUGCAGAAAAGUCAGUAAAUUUCACAAGCCGAACGUUAUCAAACUCGUAUCACAGAAGUGGUAACUAGGACAUGUGUGACAACUGAAUGGUAUCCUUUUGUAACGUUUUUGGCCAGGAGUGGGUAUUUAUUUUUUAAAUGAUACUUGAGGUUGGGUAAUCAAAUUUUUUAUUUUUUAAUGGUUGGGUCAGCAAAAUUUUUGGCAC
This 510-nucleotide long non-coding RNA is filed under the name Paramuricea clavata. Lineage: Eukaryota; Metazoa; Cnidaria; Anthozoa; Malacalcyonacea; Plexauridae. The record is from RNAcentral.